Molecule: unclassified non-coding RNA, 2207 nt
Filed under: uncultured fungus
Lineage: Eukaryota; Fungi
Description: sequence contains 18S rRNA gene, ITS1, 5.8S rRNA gene, ITS2, 28S rRNA gene
Rfam family: Eukaryotic large subunit ribosomal RNA (bases 1109-2207)
Source: RNAcentral
GGAAGGAUCAUUAACACGUAUCCACGUAUCCACCCCACGUGCAUUCGUUCUUCCCUUCUCCCUCCGUUCUCACAUGCAUGGGCUAUCGGCACACACGCUGAGUGGCGCGCGUCGUCUGACGCGUGCGUCGUGUGCGCUUACUGGCGCGGGCUUCGGCUCGCGACGACCAUGGGAGUGAGUGGAGGCUACAGUUCGGCGCCGCUGACUCUUGCUCGGGUCAUGCGCUGGGCGACUAUCAUUUAACACCACAAUCACAAUAUUUUGCUAGUUGACUUUUUUUACAUGUAGAGCCUGCCUCGUGCGCCUCUUCACGUUUCUUAAUUGAACGAAAAAUUACAACUCUUAGCAAUGGAUAUCUAGGUUCUCGCAACGAUGAAGAACGCAGCGAAAUGCGAUACGUAAUGCGAAUUGCAGAAUUCAGUGAAUCAUCAAAUCUUUGAACGCAAAUUGCGCUCUUGGGUAGCCCUAGGAGCACGCCUCUCUCAGUAUCGGUUCAACACCCGCUCAGCAGCGUCUGCGACUCGUUUGGGUCGCUGGCGUGGUGGCUGGAGAAGGAGAGUCGACGCGUGCGCGUCGUCUCUUGACAUGCAUCGAGUGGCACGCUAGCGCGGAGACGCGAGCCGCCACAUGCAGCCUGGGCUUCAGCCCGAGUGACGUGAAUACUGACCCCUCGGGGCCAACUUCUUUUACGUGUGUCUCGAGCUGGCCUAUAUCAGGCCGUGUGUGGCGAUGGCUCUGUCCCGCCGUGCCCACGGAGGUACACCAUACGAACGCCGGCGCCUGUCGCCGACCUUCUGAAUUUUGAUCUGAGAUGAAGCGAGACAACCCCCUGAAUUUAAGCAUAUUAAUAAGGGGAGGAAAAGAAACUAACACGCCUUGUUGGUUUCGAUAAUGAAUCAUUAGUCAACAUGGGUUGACUAUACUAACCACAUGCGGGGAGUUGAAGCAGAUCCUGUUAGUACUUAGCUCGUAGUAAUGCGAGUGGCCAUUGAGAGAUACAAUGGGUAGAGUUAUAGUUUAAUAGGACGGAUACGACCCGCAGCUGCAGGCUAUUCGCCUUCAGUUCACAGACUAGAUGUUAGUACAGUGUCGCACUGACUCAGAGCGAUACUGUGAGAUAUAGUCGGCCGUUGCCAGUAGUGACCCUACUGGCAGCACACCGCGAACAAGGAUUCCCCCAGUAACGGCGAGUGAAGCGGGAAGAGCUCAAUGUGAAAAUCGAUUACCUAAGCGGGUCAUCGAGUUGUAGCCUAGAGACGUACUAUCAGCUGAAACCUGGGUAUAAGUUCUUUGGAAUGAGGCAUCAUAGAGGGUGAGAAUCCCGUAUAUGACCCAAAGCUUUCAGCGUACGAUGUAUGUUCAUCGAGUCGAGUUGUUUGGGAUUGCAGCUCUAAAUGGGUGGUAAGUUUCAUCUAAAGCUAAAUAAUGGCGAGAGACCGAUAGCGAACAAGUACCGUGAGGGAAAGAUGAAAAGAACUUUGAAAAGAGAGUUAAAAGUACUUGAAAUUGCUAAGAGGGAAGCGCUGAAAACGAGUGAUGCUGCGUGUCCAUCGCCUCCGGCCCCACUAGUGCGUGUGUGACGUGGGUAACCCGUCAUGCGCGAACGAAAGGGAGGGCGGAGGUUCAGGAUACGUGGCGAGUCAAGAUUCAUUCGGACGGUGGAAGAAGGGGGCGAGAAAGGUAGGAUGGCAACAUCUGUUAUAGUCUCGUCUCACGACCUCGGUCUGGAUGGAGGAAGAAAUGGUGCGCCGCUUGCGGCUUGGUCCGGCGUCUCUGCUAGCGCAGCUGCUCUGAGUGCAAUGCUCUCUCUGUGGCGCCCGCUGGCUACUGGGCGUCGUGCUCCUAUGUGCCAUCGCGAUCUUGUACGAUAUCGUUUUCAUCGACCCGUCUUGAAACACGGACCAAGGAGUCUAACAUCUAUGCAAGUGUUUGGGUGCCAAACCCGUAACGCGUAAUGAAAGUAAAGGCAGCUCGUCUGCUCAGGUAGGAAUCUCUCAAGAGAGGCACUAUCGACCGAUCAUCACUUGUGAAAGAUUUGAGUAAGAGCAUAUCUGUUGGGACCCGAAAGAUGGUGAUCUAUGCCUGAACAGGGUGAAGCCAGGGGAAACUCUGGUGGAGGCUCGUAGCGAUACUGACGUGCAAAUCGUUCGUCUGAUUUGGGUAUAGGGGCGAAAGACUAAUCGAACCAUCUAGUAGCUGGUUCCCUC